RNAcentral lists this long non-coding RNA (226 nucleotides) under Carica papaya (papaya). RNAcentral's name for it is "long non-coding RNA (CPAP_LNC012368)". Lineage: Eukaryota; Viridiplantae; Streptophyta; Magnoliopsida; Brassicales; Caricaceae. The record is from RNAcentral.
GGCGGUCGGCUCCCGGACGGCUAGGCUGUCUUCUUCGUCGAGGGGCUCCGGCAGCUGGGCUAUCUUAUCCGGCGAGGGGCUCUGGCGGCUAGGGUUAGGGUUUGGGUAUAGAUGGGGUAAUUUAUACCCAUCCGCUUUUGAUCUGGACCGUCCAUCACUUUUAAUCUGAACCGUCUGAUCGCGAUUAAAUAGGGAGUGAAUCUGGGUCAUUCAUCGCGAUUCAAUU